Molecule: RNA transcript, 2113 nt
Organism: Dreissena polymorpha
Lineage: Eukaryota; Metazoa; Mollusca; Bivalvia; Myida; Dreissenidae
Gene name: WD repeat-containing protein 37-like
Exons: 5
Source: RefSeq, a predicted model, not a curated record
AAUCAAUGGUUAUUUAAUUUCAAUAAAAUGUGACAAAGUACAAAAAGUUGCAAAUACCAGCCAUCAUUGGAAAAUACGCUCCUGUUGUUUCCUUUUAUACAAAAUUCUGGGGUUAAAAUGAAACUCUGCCAUUUAUGUUUCCAGCGGGCCCAGUCAUCAGGGGAUGAUCUUGAUAUAUCAGACCAGUGUGAAACCAACGAAGAGAAUCCAUAUCAACCCACCAAUCUCUGCACCCCACUGCGGCGCGAUCUGAUUGGACAUCACAGUGUUGUGAUUGCUGCUGAUUGGUUGAACUUCGGUGGUCAGGUGAUAACCGCAUCAUGGGAUAGAACUGCAAUCUUGUUUGACGCAGAAACGGGGAUAACCUUGACUGUUCUCAAAGACCAGUAACAACGACAGCCUUUGCUGAGAAUGAGAAGGUGGUUUCGGGCAGUGAUGAUCGUACCGUGAAAGUCUGGGAUAUGAAGAGCAUGCGGUCACCCAUAGCCAGCAUCCGUACGGACUCAUGUGUGAACAGACUGUGUGUUUCUCCGUCAUAGAACAUGACUUCCAUCCCACACGAUAACAUACACAUAAGGCUAUUUGACAUCAAUGGAAACAGAAUAGGAAUACUUCCGCGGAGCAGCAGAACUGCCAUCGCUGGUUUGCAGGGCCACUCAAAAAUGGUGUGCAGUGUAGCCUGGGCCGAGGGUAAUCCAGUGUGUAACCUGUUCUCGUGCGGCUUCGACAGACAGGUCCUGGGUUGGAACAUCAAUGCUCAGAUCAAGGAAUGAAAAGAGUCAGCCAUGGGUCAUUAUGAAGAAACAUUCGAGAUCUUUUGGACAUCUUAGCUUAAUGCAUGUAUAUAAAGUUUCGUCCCAGUUCAGCCAUUGAAGUCCCCCUUAAAAAAUUGUGAUAAAAGUUUUAAGAGUCGUCCCUGUUUAACCUGUAUGGACUUCGCAGUCUAAUAUGGUACGAUACAUAAUGCACAUGCCCAGUUUUCAAUGAAAAAGGCCCAUAUUAUCUGAUUAAAUAAAAUUGUUCUUGUUCUUUAUACAUUUUAGUCCAUGCUUACAUGGAAGAGUGUGUGUUGAAUACCAAACUAUGAAAUGAAUUGUUUUCUGUCAUUGUUUGUAACCAAAUUAUAGGUAGUAAAUAACUAAUAUUUUUAGAGUUUUGUUGUCAAUUUUAAAUGUUAAUGUUAUAGGUAUUGAGUUGUAUAAAAUGUAUAAAUACAUAACAGUGUUAAUCAGUAAUGAUGGUGGAUAUUAUAUUGAAUUGUUAAUAAUAAUGUUAUUAGUUCGUUUGAAAAAAUUUAUUGCAAAUGCCAGAAACAAAUAUUGAAUGUGAGGAAUAACAUUUUAUGCACAAAUAUAUUCGAGUACUGCAUGAUUAAUACAUAGAAAAUACUGAUUAAAUUUGUUAAGCAAAGCUCAGUACAACUCAAGCACCAGUCUAAGUUCAAACUUAUUUAUUUAAGCUGGAUUGAAUCCAAAGCCUAAAGCUUAUAUAAAACGCCAUCAAGGAUGUUUUCUGGGUAUAACCAGUACAUGUUGUCUUUGGAAAAGGCCUGAAGAAUGCUCCCACAAUGGGGAUCAAACACGUGAGCCUUGUCGAGUGGUUCAGGUUUCAGUGCCAUAAUGCCGAGCCAAUAAUCUCAUCUCUAGUCAAUCCCUACCUGGUAUUUUAUUUAUCCCAUCAUUUUGAAACGUCCUGUCUUUUAAUUAUUAUGUUGAUUUAUUAAAAAAGCCAAUCCAUACAACUGCAAAUAUGACCUUAAGGUGUCUGAAUUUGUCUGCUAGGUCCAACAUUUUCAUCCUUUGUCUGUACUUAAUCUGACUUGGUGUUUGUUUAAAUACUCUUUAUUUGUGCAAUAUGGAAUCGUUGCUUGUUGUAUUAGUUUCCAGUGGUGUCGCAAUAUCAAUUGUUUGUUUUACCCAUUCCCAGCUAUCCCAGAAUAGUGCUGACUAAUGCCAAAUAAAAAAGAUAAUUACCGGUAUUGCAUCCAUAUUUGAUGUUAAUCAUGGAUGCUGAUUAAUACAGUUAUGAAUUUCAUUUGUGAAUAUUUUCGCGGAUGGAAAAUGUAUGUAAGUGUAUAUAAUAUACUUUAUAAAGAUAAUAAAUUUAUACAUGU